Molecule: non-coding RNA, 150 nt
Organism: Camelina sativa (false flax)
Lineage: Eukaryota; Viridiplantae; Streptophyta; Magnoliopsida; Brassicales; Brassicaceae
Source: RefSeq, a predicted model, not a curated record
UGAAAAAUCAAAAGAGCAAAGCGCAGAAACACGAAAAAGCAAGUGCGACUCUUAGGAAUUAUGAACAUGCAGCUUUAGUUAUAUUGCUGCAAUCUUUUGAGAGCCUUGCAGCUUUAGAGACAAGCAAAAAUGAGAUCCAGGAGCCAAAGG